This 461-nucleotide ribosomal RNA is filed under the name uncultured bacterium. Its description in RNAcentral is "SSU rRNA". It matches the Rfam family "Bacterial small subunit ribosomal RNA", at positions 26 to 518 of the family's 1533-position model. The record is from RNAcentral.
AGAAUCAACGCUGGCGGCGUGCCUAACACAUGCAAGUCGCACGAGAAAGGGUAGCAAUACCUGAGUACAGUGGCGCACGGGUGAGUAACACGUGAAUAAUCUACCUCCGAGUGGGGAAUAACUGAGAGAAAUCUUAGCUAAUACCGCAUAACACUUACGAGUCAAAGCAGCAAUGCGCUUGGAGAGGAGUUCGCGGCCGAUUAGUUAGUUGGCGGGGUAAUGGCCCACCAAGACGAUGAUCGGUAUCCGGCCUGAGAGGGCGCACGGACACACUGGAACUGAAACACGGUCCAGACUCCUACGGGAGGCAGCAGUGGGGAAUUUUGCGCAAUGGGGGAAACCCUGACGCAGCAACGCCGCGUGGAGGAUGAAGCCCCUUGGGGUGUAAACUCCUUUCGAUCGGGAAGAUAAUGACGGUACCGAUAUAAGAAGCCCCGGCUAACUUCGUGCCAGCACGCCGC